RNAcentral lists this ribosomal RNA (476 nucleotides) under Campylobacter upsaliensis. RNAcentral describes it as "bacterial SSU rRNA". It matches the Rfam family "Bacterial small subunit ribosomal RNA", at positions 1053 to 1533 of the family's 1533-position model. Lineage: Bacteria; Pseudomonadati; Campylobacterota; Epsilonproteobacteria; Campylobacterales; Campylobacteraceae. The record is from RNAcentral.
CGUCAGCUCGUGUCGUGAGAUGUUGGGUUAAGUCCCGCAACGAGCGCAACCCUCGUCCUUAGUUGCUAACGAUUCGGUCGAGCACUCUAAGGAGACUGCCUUCGUAAGGAGGAGGAAGGUGGGGACGACGUCAAGUCAUCAUGGCCCUUACGCCUAGGGCGACACACGUGCUACAAUGGCAUAUACAAUGAGACGCAAUACCGCGAGGUGGAGCAAAUCUAUAAAAUAUGUCCCAGUUCGGAUUGUUCUCUGCAACUCGAGAGCAUGAAGCCGGAAUCGCUAGUAAUCGCAAAUCAGCCAUGUUGCGGUGAAUACGUUCCCGGGUCUUGUACUCACCGCCCGUCACACCAUGGGAGUUGAUUUCACUCGAAGUGGAAAUACUAAACUAGUUAUCCCCCACAGUGGAAUCAGCGACUGGGGUGAAGUCGUAACAAGGUAACCGUAGGAGAACCUGCGGUUGGAUCACCUCCUUUCUA